CCCACCCUACUUGAUGGUAAUAGAGCUCACCGUUGCUCUAGCAACAUCCAAGCCUACUUGAUGGUGAUAGAGCUCACCGUUUCUCCUAGCGGUGGGUUUUAAAGGCAUCUCCCGACGUCCUCAGGACAUGGACAGACGUCCAAUUUGGAAGUGAAUCUUGAGCGACCUGGCUGGCCUGUUGUGUGCUGAUAUGUAUCACUAUAACGGUUAAAGCUGAUAUCUGUCAACAUACUGAACCUCUGUGCUGCUGUGCUGCUCUCCUCUCCUCUCGCGCUCUCUCUCUGUUCUCUUUCUCUCUCUCUUUCUCUCUCUUUCUCUCUCUCUUCCUCUCUCCUCUCUCACUCUCUCCUCUCUCCUCUCUCACUCUCUCCUCUCUCUUCUCUCUCUCCUCUCUUCUCUCUCCUCUCUUCUCCGUUCUCUAUCACUCUCUCUCUCUGUUCUCUCACUCUACCUCUCCCUUCUCUCUCUCUGGUUGUUGUCUGACACAGGUCACUGAGCUCUGAGCCCGUCUGACUGUGAUACAUUAACAGGUCACUGAGCUCUGAGCCUGUCUGACUGUGAUACAUUAACAGGUCACUGAGCUCUGAGCCCGUCUGACUGUGAUACAUUAACAGGUCACUGAGCUCUGAGCCCGUCUGACUGUGAUACAUUAACAGGUCACUGAGCUCUGAGCCCGUCUGACUGUGAUACAUUAACAGGUCACUGAGCUCUGAGCCCGUCUGACUGUGAUACAUUAACAGUGACUGGAGGAGCAGGGAGAACACACUGACACGUGGAUGAAUACACCCGUGUAUACGUUUGCUCCUGUAUGUGUGUGUGUGUGUGUGUGUGUGUGUGUGUGUGUGUGUGUGUGUGUGUGUGUGUGUUCAGUGCCUAGCUUAGAACAGAGCACGAUGCUGAUGUUGUUUGAUGUUAAUGAAAUGUUUUUGUAUUUUUUAAUUUAAUUUAACGAAUCCAUGGCCAAAGGACAGGCUUGGAGUACACACACACACACACACACACACACACGAAUAAAGGUCUUCAGACUAAACUUUGUUGACAGGAAACUACGCUCUAGCGCCCCCACAAAGCCUGAUGUCUCUCCCUUCAUCCCGUCAUCCCUCCAUCUUCCUCCCUCUGUCAUCUCUCUUCCUCCCUCUGUCAUAUCUCUUCCUCCCUCUGUCAUCUCCCUUCAUCCCUCCAUCUUCCUUCCUCUGUCAUCUCCUUUCAUCCCUCCAUCUUCCUCCCUCUGUCAUCUCCCUUCAUCCCUCCAUCUUCCUCCCUCUGUCAUCUCCUUUCAUCCCUCCAUCUUCCUCCCUCUGUCAUCUCCCUUCCUCCCUCCAUAUUCCUCCCUCUGUCAUCUCUCUUCCUCCCUCCAUCUUCUCUCUUACUCCCAUUCAAACCUCCAGCAACAUCUUACCACCUUUCCCUCUAUCUCUCUUUCCCUCGUCAUCUCCCUCUUUCCCUCGUCAUCUCCCUCUGUCCCUCGUCAUCUCCCUCUGUCCCUCGUCAUCUCUCUCUGUCCCUCGUCAUCUCCCUCUUUCCCUCGUCAUCUCCCUCUGUCCCUCGUCAUCUCCCUCUGUCCCUCGUCAUCUCUCUCUGUCCCUCGUCAUCUCCCUCUGUCCCUCGUCAUCUCCCUCUGUCCCUCGUCAUCUCUCUCUGUCCCUCGUCAUCUCUCUCUUUCCCUCGUCAUCUCUCUCUUUCCCUCGUCAUCUCUCUCUGCAUCCUUCUGUCUCCUUCCAUCCCUCUCCCCCUCACACCUCAAGGGACAUAUUUAUCAUAUUUAUCUCUCAACAUGCUUCCUUAACCUUACUGUAAUCCCCCUCUCUUUAUAUCUCUCCAUCUCUCCCUCAUCCCUCCAUCUCGUCCUCCAUCCUUCCAUCUCUCCAUCUCUCCCUCAUCCCUCCAUCUCAUCCUCCAUCCUUCCAUCUCUUCCUCCAUCCAUCUCUCCAUCUCCCCCUCCAUCUCUCCAUCCAUCUCCCCCUCCAUCCUUCCAUCUCUCCCUCCGUCCUUCCAUCUCUCCCUCCCUCCGUCCUUCCAUCUCUCCCUCCCUCCGUCCUUCCAUCUCUCCCUCCCUCCAUCUCUCCCUCCUUCCGUCCUUCCAUCUCUCUCUCCCUCCCUCCCUCCCUCCAUCCUUCCAUCUCUCCCUCCCUCCAUCCUUCCAUCUCUCCCUCCCUCCAUCCUUCCAUCUCUCCCUCCCUCCAUCCUUCCA
Molecule: long non-coding RNA, 2191 nt
Filed under: Salmo salar (Atlantic salmon)
Lineage: Eukaryota; Metazoa; Chordata; Actinopteri; Salmoniformes; Salmonidae
Description: lncRNA (ENSSSAG00000114646.1)
Source: RNAcentral